Molecule: RNA transcript, 3479 nt
Organism: Catharus ustulatus (Swainson's thrush)
Lineage: Eukaryota; Metazoa; Chordata; Aves; Passeriformes; Turdidae
Gene: LRRC43
Gene name: leucine rich repeat containing 43
Exons: 12
Source: RefSeq, a predicted model, not a curated record
ACAAACCACCGAGCCAGGGGAUUCCCUGCCAGGCUGGGGCUGGAUGGCAGCACCCCGCAGCGUCUCGGCUGCUUUUCAGGAGUACCUGCAGCACCUGGGGCUGCAGGACUUCCCCUGUGGCAUCGGCAGCUGGAACAAAUCUCGCUUCCAUGGCCGCAGGAGCUCCCGGCUGGAGGAGGCUGUGCCACCGGGAGAGGAGAGCCCCGAGGCGCUGCUGGAGCUGCUGAGAGACCCACACAGCCCCUGGGCACUGCCCCCCGAGUGCAGCCCCCUGGACCGGCUCCUGCGGGAAGUGGCCGUGCUGGCACCCGAGCUCCUCCGCGGCUCUGGAAUCUUCCAGCUUGUCAAGUCCCUGCGGAUACUCGACAAGGGGGUGGAGGAGGUGGAUGAGGGUCUGCUGCAGUUCCAGCAGCUGGAGGAGCUCAUCCUCAGUGCCAACCACAUCAGCAGAGUAAGCUCAGCCCACCUGCCCCGGACUCUGAAGGUCCUGGAGCUCUGCUACAAUGCUGUGGGUGAUCUGCAGGACCUGUGUGCUCAGCCACCCCCAGAGCUCCAGCACUUGGGGCUGGGCUACAACCGACUGUGCGGCCCUUCCCAGGAAAAGCACCUCACUGUGGAUUUCUGGCCAAACCUCAUCUCCCUUGACCUGAGCUUUAACAGCCUCACAGACCUGCCAGGGCUGGUGUCCCAACUGUCCACUCUGCCCAACCUCCACAUCCUGCUGCUCCAAGGGAACCCACUGGCUCUCACCCCCACUUACAGAGGCUUCCUUGUGGACAGCCUGCCCAAGCUGUCCAUCCUCGAUGACAUCCACAUAUGGCCUGAAGAGAGGGAGCACUUCUAUGGUCUGGCAAGGCAGCCAGAGCUGAUCAGGAGUGAAGCACGAGUGGUUGUGAGCAUUGGGGAGUUGAAGGGACUCCCCAAUCCUGAAGCUUUUCAGCAGCUGGAGGUUGGCUCUGAGGGCCCAGUGAUCACCUACAGCUACUAUGUGACCUACGAGUUUGCAGAGGGAGAGGAGCUCGAGGACAGGGGCAGCCCUGAGGGAAUAAAAAUCCACCAGAAUUCCACAGUGGCCCCGCUGGAUGUGGACAGCUCUGCUCAGGACACAGAGGAAACAAAGAACCAUCAGGAACCUGCUGCCACAGAGGAGCCCAAGACCCACUCUGCAAAGGUGUUUGCCACCCCUGGACAGCCCUGGGCAGACACCAUUGACUGCAGCUACAGGAAGGAACACGUUGACAAGGACUUGGUGGGGCUGAAGGCCUACCUGGAGGCUGGAACGAUUGUCUCAGUUGUGGAGGAGAAGGUGCUUUCAUGGCCUGUGGAUGCUGAUGCAGAAGAAAAUGCUGCCACAAAUAAGAAGGAAGGACAGGGACUGAAGAAGAACAAUGCAAAGGACAAGCAGAAAAAGAAGAAGCAGCAGCAGCAGCCGAGUGAAUUCCGCAGCGACCCUCCCAUUCGGAGCACCCUGGGCACCACGAGGGUGACCUUGGACACCCUGCUGGCCACCGAGGACCUGGUGGCAACUGUGUGUGACUUUGGGAUCCUGAUCCCUGAGAAACCACCAGUUGUGGAGGAGAAGGAGGUAAAAAAAGGCAAAGGCAAGAACAGAAAACCCAAAGCAGAGAAAGAAAGUAAGACCAGCCAGAAAAGUGAGACGACUCCCAAAGGUGACUGAGGCUGGAGCUGGCUGGGCAGAGGGUGGGGUGUGUGAGAGAACAAACAGGAGAGAGUCCUGCCACCCUGCCAGCUCCAGGAGCAGGCACUUACUCACAUCCUGAGCCGUGAAUACAGACAUUGACUGCGGGGCUGCAGCACAGACACAGCCUGGACUCAUUUUAUGAGUCUGAGGGUGGGCUGUGAGACACACACCUACAGCACCCUGUGCCAGGGGAGAAGGGCAAAGCAGAUUUUUGGGUGAGAAAAGCGCUGCCCACUGUGUCAGCUGCCAAACGUGGGCGGUGGCGUGGGCGGGCAGCUGGGCGAGGGUGCCUGGGGUGCAUAACGAGCUCCUCAUCCACUGCCAGCUCCCAUCUCCAAGCACUUUGCAGAGGGGAUUAUUGUUCUCUCUGGUUUGGAGAGGAGAUGCACAGAGAGCCCCAGGUGCCCCAGCCAGCCCUUGGCAGGGCUGGAAACGGAUCCCAGUCUGCUGUCAUCCAUGGAGAGAGCACCCUGACCCUGCCUGGUGUGUCCCUGCCUCCCCAGUGCAGAGCUCAGGGCUGCUCAGCCAGCAGCGUUGCUUAAUCUGCCAGAAGUAAACCUCACCCUGCCUCUUGCAGGUUAUCUUUCCAGCAGUCUUGGUUUUGACCACAGAAAUAUCAGUGCCAGCACAUCGGAGAGGGGAAAAAGAGAUAAGAGAGUGGGAGGAAGUGGGAAGAGGGAUGAGGUGGCCAAGCAAUGCUGGAAAGCUGCUUGUGGGUCAGGGAGGGCAUGGGGAGGGCCAGGCCUCCAGCACUGCUCAGAGCUACCAAAGGAGCUUUGCUCUUCUGCUGUGGCAUCAGAUUUAAGAGUGCAAAUAACCCACAGAGCUCCAGGCUGCUUUCCUGUGCCCUGUCACCCACAGCCACGUCCCAUCUCUGGGGAGGCUCUCAGAGCUCUGCAGUCCUGGGCUGUGUCUGCACUCAGAGAAGCCUGUGGCCUCUCCCAGCAAUUUGAAAAGAACUCCUCGAAUUGCUGUCCCCAAGAAGAUGUGUAUUUACAAUGUACACUCAGCCUGUUGCUGUGGCAGGCAGCUGCUGUCAAACAGCUCAGCUUCAGCAGUGGUUGUUUCUUUGUUCCUUCCCUCCCUGGUGUGUGGUCAGUGCGUGCAGGUUUCCCUUCAGCUCGAAUCAGGGUGCUGUAGUGUGCACAGAAGUGCUGCUGCUAUAGGAAACCAACAUUAAUUAGAGAUUUGUGCUUAAUUUGGUGUCCCCGUGUGCCUGUGCACUGUGAGGCCACCUUCCAAAGUGUGAGUGCAAAAUUCACAGUGCCUAAAAAUGAGCUGCCCCACAUCUCGCUGCACCCCCUGCUCCAGCACUGGCCUGUGAGUCACAGCUGUGGUUUUUGGGGGGCUGCUCGAGCCCUGCUGAGCUCAGUGCCUGCACAUCCUGCCUGUCCCAUGAGUCACCAGCUGCUUUGGGACAGUUUGACACUGGCUCUUCACCUGGGGACCGUGCACCUCCUCGGAGCUGUGACAGUGGCCGUGCCCCGGGGGACAGGGGUGGCUCCCAGCCCUGUGUCCAGCGGGGCUCUGCAGGGACCGGCACUCUCACAGCCGGGAGCUGGGCUGAUUUGCAUCCCUCAGUCAGCAAAUGCACACAAAUAAUAAGUGUUCUCAGAGGAAUUGGGAUCACUUCCAGACGGCUCAAAGAGGAAAGGCUUUUGUCACAAGUGAGCCAUUUGCCCAGACACUGAAGGAUGUCUUCAGAAGUAGUCUCACGAAAAGGAAAAAACAAAGAAACUGCUGAAGUGGAGGAGGGUCAGGAGCUCCAGCCGGUGCC